GAGGUAGCUCAGUUGGUUAGAACAACAGACUCAUAAUCAGAAGAUCCCUGGUUCAAGCCCAG
This 62-nucleotide transfer RNA is filed under the name Bacteroides cutis. The record is from RNAcentral. Lineage: Bacteria; Pseudomonadati; Bacteroidota; Bacteroidia; Bacteroidales; Bacteroidaceae.